UACGUAGGUGGCAAGCGUUAUCCGGAAUUACUGGGCGUAAAGCGCACGCAGGCGGCUAGUCAAGUUCGACGUGAAAGCUCCCGGCUUAACUGGGAGAGGUCGUUGAAAACUGGUUAGCUUGAGGCAAUGAGAGGGGUGUAGAAUUCCUGGUGUAGUGGUGGAAUGCGUAGAUAUCCGGAAGAACACCGGUGGCGAAGGCGGCUCGCUGGGCUCUUGCUGACACUGAAUCACGACAGCGUGGGGAGCAAACAGG
Molecule: ribosomal RNA, 253 nt
Filed under: uncultured bacterium
Lineage: Bacteria
Description: partial 16S ribosomal RNA
Rfam family: Bacterial small subunit ribosomal RNA
Source: RNAcentral